This 845-nucleotide long non-coding RNA is filed under the name Bos taurus (domestic cattle). Its description in RNAcentral is "long non-coding RNA NONBTAT008172". The record is from RNAcentral. Lineage: Eukaryota; Metazoa; Chordata; Mammalia; Artiodactyla; Bovidae.
UAGAAUUGGGGGAAAUCUAAGGAAGUGUGUACAUAUCAUAGCAAUUUCGUUUUUCAAGCUUCAUUUUGUUUACCUCCUGUGGAGAGAACGUUGAUUAAGAUUUUGACAUAACCUAUGAGUUUAUUUUUAAAAUGGACUAAUUUAAGAAUGAGUGGUUUUGCCCUGAAGGAUAUUUGAGAACAAAAAGUACCAAGCCCAGCAAGAAUUAGGAACUCUCUUAUUUGGAAUCAGACAUGGAUUCUAGACAAGGCUUUUUAUCUGCCUUACAACUAGUAACUGUAAAAUAAUUAUUUUGGAGUUCUUUUAAUUUGUUACAUAAAUCUCUGUACUCUACUACCAUAGUUCAUGUCACACAGUCUUUUUCUUCCAAUAAUAUUUCAUUCUUGCAAUAUAGGAAAAAGUGAAACUUCUAAAGCCAAGAGGGAAUUGAAUAAUAUGUCAUGACCUUCAAAAAAAUAACAGGCUAUAAGGCUUGGUUUCUUUCUCAGAUUCUAAGGAACACAUGAUUGAAGAACUAAAUCCCACCUCACUAUAUAUAAAAAAUUCCAUAGAAUGCUUUGAUUCUGAAGGCUAGGAGUUCAAAGAGAUCAAGAAAAACUUUACAUGGAACACCAGAAAAAAGAAAUGUAGACAUUCUGAAGAUUUGAGAUAGCUAUUUAUGCCUAAGAACUGGAGGCCUAGAUCAACUUUUGUUUUCCUUUAAAAAAUGUUUGCUGUUCUAGUAAAAAUCAUAACUUAUUUGUGGUUUGCGUUCCUUAUCAAAGUGUGAGUAUAAAUUUGCUUUUGUAUAAAGUAAAAGAUGUCUCUAUUUGAAUACUCAUAACUGCAUUAAAAUUAAUAUAUGA